AUCGAGGGAUGGAGUGGUGGUGUGGGGGGGAGGAGGAGGUGAUUGCGUCUGGCUUUUGGUGUCUACUAUUUGUGAUGUUGGUUCAGUAACUGGGAAAAGUUAGCCUUGUGUGGCUCCCCUGUGCCUGAAGAAGGGUUCUGUUUGUAUCUCCAGCCUUCUGGGCACUGGAUGGUCUUGGUGCUCGCAGGAUGAUGUGUCUCAGGGCCUUGCUGCUUCUGGUUGUGUUGUGGAAGGUAAAAGCUGGCAUUGCAGCAACUUAUUUGAGAGGCGUAGUGUUUUCUAAGGCACCUGACCCUGCAAGCUUGCCCUGCAAAGUGUAGCAGAAGCUCUGGGGAUGGUGAGGACAGCCUCCCUUCCCAAAGUCUGUCUGGGGGAGCAUGGGUUGGAGCUCUGCUGUAACAGGAGGUAGGGGGAGGGGAACUCUGGAAUAAGAAAGGAAAAGGUUUCAGAGCUGUGGUUUCUUUGCAUGAUGCUAUGUAAGCAUGAACACUUCAGCUCACCUUCAGUCCUGUUUAAGAGGCAUUAAUUUUGGUGUCAGAUGAGCUGGUGCUUGGGCAUGUUUAUGGGGGGGGCUGAGGCAGGUAGCUGGCAGCAAUCAGACAGCUGUGGGUUAAUGAGUACCUCAUCAGCUGAGUCUCAUUAACGGUGCAGCCUCCAGCCCAGCAGGGCAGGAGGUGUUGGAGCCAUUUAGAGGAUAACAGUGGUCGGUUGUGGUGCUGGAGUGGUUGAGGAUGGGGCAGCUCUGAUGGUUUGGCAGGUUUAGAGGUUACUUGUUUAAAAAGUUUGCUGGUUUGUGAGUUUAAUUACAGAAUUAACCACGUGCACGUUGAAACAGUGCUAAUAAAUGUGUUGCAAGCAGACUGUGGCAGUGGUUAAUGUCAACCUGGGGGAAAUGAAUGGAAAUGGUUUUAACACACACUGUAACUGUGCUGGGAGGACUUAUUUAAUUUGUAAGCCUUUGACACUGGUUAUAGUAUCAGCAAAUACGGGAACACUGUAAGAUCACGCUCUGUAUGAAAAUAAACGAGGAAUAUAAUCUUUUUUUCCUCUUUCUAAGAAUUGUGGUGAAAUGAAGUGUGCAUCUGAACUUCUCCUUUCCAAAUGCUUUCCACAUAACUGGCUUUACCAAAAUGGAAGGGUGAAUUCAUAGCUUGGAAGUUUCUAAAAAUGUCUCUGCCAAAUGCAUGUGGCUGCUAUCGCAUGCCAAGUGGUCCAGAGCGAGCCAGGCUGGAAUCUCUG
Molecule: long non-coding RNA, 1239 nt
Organism: Gallus gallus (chicken)
Lineage: Eukaryota; Metazoa; Chordata; Aves; Galliformes; Phasianidae
Source: Ensembl